Octopus sinensis (East Asian common octopus) is the source of this 152-nucleotide long non-coding RNA. RefSeq lists it as uncharacterized. The record is from RefSeq and is a predicted model, not a curated record. The transcript has 3 exons. Lineage: Eukaryota; Metazoa; Mollusca; Cephalopoda; Octopoda; Octopodidae.
AUCAGAGGUACGCAUAUUGACAGCCACUAACGGACAUGCUCAACUCGUUAAGGUCAAACAACUGACCAGCAAAUCUGUAGUACUGAACAGAAUAUUUUCUGUAGCCCAUUUUUUAUACCAAGACAAAGCAGAGCACAUGAUAACACUUCCAA